Molecule: ribosomal RNA, 468 nt
Filed under: uncultured bacterium
Lineage: Bacteria
Description: partial 16S ribosomal RNA
Rfam family: Bacterial small subunit ribosomal RNA
Source: RNAcentral
GACGAACGCUGGCGGCGUGCUUAACACAUGCAAGUCGAACGGAAAGGCCCUGCUUUUGUGGGGUGCUCGAGUGGCGAACGGGUGAGUAACACGUGAGUAACCUGCCCUUGACUUUGGGAUAACUUCAGGAAACUGGGGCUAAUACAGGAUAGGAGCUCCUGCUGCAUGGUGGGGGUUGGAAAGUUUCGGCGGUUGGGGAUGGACUCGCGGCUUAUCAGCUUGUUGGUGGGGUAGUGGCUUACCAAGGCUUUGACGGGUAGCCGGCCUGAGAGGGUGACCGGCCACAUUGGGACUGAGAUACGGCCCAGACUCCUACGGGAGGCAGCAGUGGGGAAUAUUGCACAAUGGGCGGAAGCCUGAUGCAGCAACGCCGCGGGCGGGAUGACGGCCUUCGGGUUGUAAACCGCUUUCGCCUGUGACGAAGCGUGAGUGACGGUAAUGGGUAAAGAAGCACCGGCUAACUACGUG